AACAGGAUUAGAUACCCUGGUAGUCCACCCCGUAAACGUUGGGAACUAGUUGUGGGGUCCAUUCCACGGAUUCCGUGACGCAGUUAACGCAUUAAGUUCCCCGCCUGGGGAGUACGGCCGCAAGGCUAAAACUCAAAGGAAUUGACGGGGACCCGCACAAGCGGCGGAGCAUGCGGAUUAAUUCGAUGCAACGCGAAGAACCUUACCAAGGCUUGACAUAUACGAGAACGGGCCAGAAAUGGUCAACUCUUUGGACACUCGUAAACAGGUGGUGCAUGGUUGUCGUCAGCUCGUGUCGUGAGAUGUUGGGUUAAGUCCCGCAACGAGCGCAACCCUCGUUCUAUGUUGCCAGCACGUAAUGGUGGGAACUCAUGGGAUACUGCCGGGGUCAACUCGGAGGAAGGUGGGGAUGACGUCAAAUCAUCAUGCCCCUUAUGUCUUGGGCUUCACGCAUGCUACAAUGGCCGGUACAAAGGGCUGCAAUACCGCGAGGUGGAGCGAAUCCCAAAAAGCCGGUCCCAGUUCGGAUUGAGGUCUGCAACUCGACCUCAUGAAGUCGGAGUCGCUAGUAAUCGCGGAUCAGCAACGCUGCGGUGAAUACGUUCCCGGGUCUUGUACACACCGCCCGUCAAGUCAUGAAAGUCGGUAACACCUGAAGCCGGUGGCCUAACCCUUGUGGAGGGAGCCGUCGAAGGUGGGAUCGGUAAUUAGGACUAAGUCGUAACAAGGUAACC
RNAcentral lists this ribosomal RNA (734 nucleotides) under uncultured bacterium. Its description in RNAcentral is "bacterial SSU rRNA". It matches the Rfam family "Bacterial small subunit ribosomal RNA", at positions 771 to 1501 of the family's 1533-position model. The record is from RNAcentral.